Molecule: ribosomal RNA, 1436 nt
Filed under: uncultured prokaryote
Description: partial 16S ribosomal RNA
Rfam family: Bacterial small subunit ribosomal RNA
Source: RNAcentral
GGCUUGCCCAUGGAUUCGAGUGGCGCACGGGUGAGUAACGCGUGGGUAACCUGCCCUUGAAUCUGGGACAACAGUUCGAAAGGACGGCUAAUACCGGAUGAGCUCUAUGCUUCAGCGAUGCGGCAUAAAGGAAGAAAGACGGUCGAAUUAUGGCUGUCGUUCAUGGAGGGGCCCGCGUUCUAUUAGCUUGUUGGUGGGGUAAUGGCCUACCAAGGCUAUGAUAGAUAACCGGCUUGAGAGAGUGGUCGGUCACACUGGAACUGAGACACGGUCCAGACUCCUACGGGAGGCAGCAGUAGGGAAUAUUCCGCAAUGGGCGAAAGCCUGACGGAGCGACGCCGCGUGUGUGAUGAAGGCCUUCGGGUUGUAAAACACUGUUGGAGAAGGAAGAAGUGCAUAGGGAGUAACUGCCUUAUGUUUGACGGUACUUUUCGAGGAAGCCCCGGCUAAUUACGUGCCAGCAGCCGCGGUAAUACGUAAGGGGCAAGCGUUGUCCGGAUUCACUGGGCGUAAAGGGCGCGUAGGCGGCGAUACAAGUCAGAGGUGAAAGCUAUGGGCUCAACCCAUAAACUGCCUUUGAAACUGUAUUGCUUGAAUAUUGCAGAGGAAAGUGGAAUUCAUGGUGUAGCGGUGAAAUGCGUAGAUAUCAUGGAGAACACCUAUGGCGAAGGCAGCUUUCUGGGCAAAUAUUGACGCUGAGGCGCGAAAGCUAGGGUAGCGAACAGGAUUAGAUACCCUGGUAGUCCUAGCUGUAAACGUUGAGUACUAGGUGCUGGGAGUAAAAUUUCAGUGCCGGCGCAAACGCAAUAAGUACUCCGCCUGGGGACUACGGCCGCAAGGCUAAAACUCAAAGGAAUUGACGGGGGCCCGCACAAGCGGUGGAGCAUGUGGUUUAAUUCGAUGCAACGCGGAAUACCUUACCAAGCCUUGACAUCCCCGGACCGCCUAUGAAAGUAGGUUUUCAGAGCAAUCUGACUGGGAGACAGGUGGUGCAUGGCUGUCGUCAGCUCGUGUCGUGAGAUGUUGGGUUAAGUCCCGCAACGAGCGCAACCCCUAUCGUUAGUUACCAUCAUUAAGUUGGGGACUCUAACGAGACUGUCCGUAAUAAGCGGGAGGAAGGUGGGGACGACGUCAAGUCAUCAUGCCCCUUACGGCUUGGGCUACACACGUGCUACAAUGGCUGGUACAGAGAGCAGCGAGAUCGCAAGAUUGAGCCAACCUCCAAAGCCAGCCCAAGUUCAGACUGGGGAUUGAAACUCAUCCCCAUGAAGUCGGAAUCGCUAGUAAUCGUGAAUCAGCAUGUCACGGUGAUACGUUCCCGGGCCUUGUACACACCGCCCGUCACACCACCUGAGUUGGGUGCACCCGAAGUCGCUCAUCCAACCCCAUUGGGGAGGAAGGUGCCUAAGGUGUGCCUGGUCAACGGGGGUGAAGUC